This 792-nucleotide ribosomal RNA is filed under the name Streptomyces sp. RNAcentral describes it as "bacterial SSU rRNA". It matches the Rfam family "Bacterial small subunit ribosomal RNA", at positions 67 to 873 of the family's 1533-position model. The record is from RNAcentral. Lineage: Bacteria; Bacillati; Actinomycetota; Actinomycetes; Kitasatosporales; Streptomycetaceae.
CGAUGAACCACUUCGGUGGGGAUUAGUGGCGAACGGGUGAGUAACACGUGGGCAAUCUGCCCUUCACUCUGGGACAAGCCCUGGAAACGGGGUCUAAUACCGGAUACGACCUGCCAAGGCAUCUUGGUGGGUGGAAAGCUCCGGCGGUGAAGGAUGAGCCCGCGGCCUAUCAGCUUGUUGGUGAGGUAACGGCUCACCAAGGCGACGACGGGUAGCCGGCCUGAGAGGGCGACCGGCCACACUGGGACUGAGACACGGCCCAGACUCCUACGGGAGGCAGCAGUGGGGAAUAUUGCACAAUGGGCGAAAGCCUGAUGCAGCGACGCCGCGUGAGGGAUGACGGCCUUCGGGUUGUAAACCUCUUUCAGCAGGGAAGAAGCGAAAGUGACGGUACCUGCAGAAGAAGCGCCGGCUAACUACGUGCCAGCAGCCGCGGUAAUACGUAGGGCGCAAGCGUUGUCCGGAAUUAUUGGGCGUAAAGAGCUCGUAGGCGGCUUGUCACGUCGGUUGUGAAAGCCCGGGGCUUAACCCCGGGUCUGCAGUCGAUACGGGCAGGCUAGAGUUCGGUAGGGGAGAUCGGAAUUCCUGGUGUAGCGGUGAAAUGCGCAGAUAUCAGGAGGAACACCGGUGGCGAAGGCGGAUCUCUGGGCCGAUACUGACGCUGAGGAGCGAAAGCGUGGGGAGCGAACAGGACUCAGAUACCCUGGUAGUCCACGCCGUAAACGGUGGGCACUAGGUGUGGGCAACAUUCCACGUUGUCCGUGCCGCAGCUAACGCAUUAAGUGCCCCGCC